This 502-nucleotide ribosomal RNA is filed under the name uncultured bacterium. Its description in RNAcentral is "bacterial SSU rRNA". It matches the Rfam family "Bacterial small subunit ribosomal RNA", at positions 29 to 524 of the family's 1533-position model. The record is from RNAcentral.
UUGAACGCUGGCGGCGUGCCUAACACAUGCAAGUCGAGCGGUAACAGGUGUAGCAAUACAUGCUGACGAGCGGCGGACGGGUGAGUAACGCUUGGGAAUCUGCCUAUUAGUGGGGGACAACCCGGGGAAACUCGGGCUAAUACCGCAUACGCUCUACGGAGGAAAGCCGGGGACCGCAAGGCCUGGCGCUAAUAGAUGAGCCCAAGUCGGAUUAGCUAGUUGGUAGGGUAGUGGCCUACCAAGGCGACGACCCGUAACUGGUCUGAGAGGACGACCAGUCACACCGGAACUGAGACACGGUCCGGACUCCUACGGGAGGCAGCAGUGGGGAAUAUUGGACAAUGGGCGAAAGCCUGAUCCAGCGACGCCGCGUGGGUGAAGAAGGCCUGCGGGUUGUAAAGCCCUUUCAGUGGGGAAGAAAAGCCUCGACCUAACACGUCGGGGUCUUGACGUAACCCAUAGAAGAAGCACCGGCUAACUCUGUGCCAGCAGCCGCAGUAAC